RNAcentral lists this long non-coding RNA (10497 nucleotides) under Malus domestica (apple). RNAcentral describes it as "long non-coding RNA (MDOM_LNC004247)". The record is from RNAcentral. Lineage: Eukaryota; Viridiplantae; Streptophyta; Magnoliopsida; Rosales; Rosaceae.
UUUUUUUUUUUUUUGAAUUUUCAAAUUUCCGGAUUUUUGAAUUUUCGAAUUUCCGAAAAAAUAAAAAAUAAAAAUAAUAUAUAUAUAUAUAUUUAAAAGCUUUGUUGGUGAAGCUUUGGUGUUGAAGCUUUGUAGGUGAAGUUUUGAGGUUGAAGCUUUGUUGGGCAUCAUGAAUUGAUUUUGCUUCACACUAUCUUGAUGAAGAGUGUGUGAAGCUUUUAUAUGUUUUGGUGUUGAAAUUUUGUAUUGUAGGUGAAGCUUUGGGGUUGAAGCUUGAUAGGUGAAGCUUUGGUAUUGAAGCUUUAUAGGUGAAGCUUUGGUGUUGAAGCUUUAUAAGUGAAGCUUUGGUGUUGAAGCUUUAUAAGUGAAGCUUUGGUGUUGAAGCUUUGGUGUUGAAGGGUUGAAGCUUUAUAGGUGAAGCUUUUGGUGUUAAAGCUUUAUAGGUGAAGCUUUGGGGUUGAAACUUUAUAGGUGAAGCUUUUGUUGGCACCAUAAAUUAAUUUUGCUUCACACUAUCUUGAUGAAGAUAGUGCAAAGCUUUUGAGAUUGAUAUUUGUCCUCCAUUGAUGAAGCUUUUGUUGGCACCAUAAAUUGAUUUUGCUUCACACUAUCUUGAUGAAGAUAGUGCAAAGCUUUUGAGAUUGAUAUUUGUCCUCCAUUGAUGAAGCUUUUGUUGGCACCAUAAAUUGAUUUUGCUUCACACUAUCUUGAUGAAGAUAGUGCGAAGCUUUUGAGGAUUGUAGUUGUGUUCCAUUGAUGAAGCUUUGUUGAAUUUCCCAAUUUCCAAUUUCCUCUUUUUUUGUUUUUUGUUUUUUGUUUUUUUUUUGUUUUUUUUUGUUUUGAUUUUUUGUUUUUUUUUUGUUUUUUUGUUUUUUUGUUUUUUUUUUGGGAAAACUAGAAAUUUGAAAAUGUGGGAGAGACAACGUAUACAAAUUUUGCUUCCAUACUGUUAAGCGAGAGAUUGUGAUGCAAGCCACAUCUUGUAGUAGUCGAAGGUUUGGAUGAACCAUAUAAAUUGAAUUUGCUUCGAACAGUCUUGAUCAAGAGCGUUUGAAGCGUUUUAUGAGUUGUAAUGUUUGCAUUGUUACAGAGGAGAAAUGUCUGAAGCAGAAGCAAGAGGGCUGAAGAGCUUGAUCUUCGUAUACCAUGCACUGAAGCCAUUGUUGGCUUGCAAUAAGACUUUGUUGGUGACUAUAACUCUUGUUAGGCAUAAGUGCUCCCCUAGUUGAGUUGUAAAGCUUGAUGGUUUUUUAUUAUUUGUGAAUGCUAGGAGUUCACAUGUACAAGUUGUACCACUCGUCUUCUGGUUAGUGGAAUGAAUGGUGGGUUGCUUUCAUCACUUGGUUGGUGGUACGAAUGUGAAUUCCUUAAUCACCUUUCAUCACAUUUCAUCACCUGGUUGGUGACAUGAAGGAGAGUACGCGUUGUACAUUUCAUCACCUGGUUGGUGGCAUGAAGGAAAGUACGCGUUGUACAUUUCAUCACCUGGUUGGUGGCAUGAAGAUGAGUUCCUUCUUCACCUGAUUGGUGAUAAGGGUGGCAAGUUUCCAAAUAAUAUUAGAGUACUGGUUGUACAUUUCAUCACCUAGUUGGUGGUACGAAGGUGAGUUCCUUCAUCACCUAGUUGGUGAGAAUAAGGGCAAGGUGUCGAGGAACAUUGUGGCAAAUGUCGAAUGACACAAAGUGUGUUGAACCCUUUCGAAGCACAGUUGGCUUAUGUAUGGAUGUGUUGGAAUGUAUGAUGUUUAUGCAUGAAUGUGUUGGAAUGUAUGAUGUUUAUGUAUAAAUGUAUUGGAAUGUAUGAUGUUUAUGUAUGAAUGUGUUGGAAUGUAUGAUGUUUAUGUAUGAAUGUGUUGGAAUGUAUGAUGUAGAUCCUUUGUAUAGUCUUGUUGACACAUACUUAGAUUUUAUUUUGUAUUGGAAACAUUUGCGUUGAAGCUUCAACACUUGAGUGUUUCAUUGCUCAGAAUGUAAAAGAGUUUAUGGCCGAGUUGGCUAAAUCACCUCUUUAUUGAAUUCAUACCAAAUGGUCUUUGUUACAUAGGAUGCCGAACGGCUGUAGCUUAACACUUGUACAAUGUGAGUCUAUUUGUAAUAGUACUUCAAGUGGUCAGCAUUCCAUGGAUGGCCAAGGGUCUUGCCGUCGGAGUUUCUGAGCUUGUAGGAGCCAGGGCGGCUGAUGCCGACGACCUCGAACGGUCCGUCCCAGUUAGGACUGGGUGUUCCUUCACUCGGGACCCUAUCACAGAGUAAUCUUUUCUUCAGUACCCAGUCUCCCACUUUGAAAGAGCGAGGUUUGACCCUUGAGUCGUAGUAGUUGGAAAUGCGCUGCUUGUAGGCGACAUUCCUCAGGUGAGCUUGAUUUCUGUGUUCCUCGACUAGAUCCAGGUUGAGGGUGAGUUGUUUGUCGUUCUCACUCUGCAUGUAAUUCUGGAUUCGGUAUGUUGCUUGCUCAAGCUCAACCGGGACAACUGCUUCUGUACCAAAAGCAAGUGAGAAUGGAGUUUCUCCUGUGGAAGUCCGAUAUGAAGUGCGGUAUGACCAAAGAACUUGGGGUACGAAUUCUGGCCAACAACCUUUAGCUUUGUCCAAGCUAGUUUUCAGAGUGCGCUUGAUUAUUUUGUUAACGGCCUCGACUUGUCCAUUAGACUGGGGAUGGGCUGGAGAGGCAAAACAUAAGUUGAUGUUGAACUUAGAGCAGAACAUUUUGAACUUCUUGUUGUCGAACUGCCGCCCAUUGUCCGUGACUAUCGCAUUGGGAAUGCCGAAUCUACAGAGGAUGUUCUUCCAUACGAAGUCUUCUAUUUUUCCCUCAGUAAUGGUUGCCAAGGGUUCUACUUCAGCCCACUUUGUGAAGUAGUCAACUGCAACGAUUGCAUAGCGGACCUUGCCCUUCCCUGCAGGCAUUGGGCCGAUCAAAUCAAGUCCCCAUUGGGCGAAGGGCCAAGGGCUGAUCAUAGGAGUGAGCGACUCAGAAUGGGAGUGAGGGAUAAUUGCGUAGCGUUGACACUUAUCACAUGAGCGAGAUAUUCUGAUGGCAUCUUGGUGGAGUGUUGCCCAAUAGUAUCCUUAGCGAAAAGUCUUGUGUGCUAGGGAUCGAGACCCAGCAUGAUCUCCGCAGACUCCUUCAUGUAUUUCCCGAAGGACAAUUUCUGCCUCCGCAGGUGUAAGGCAUCUUAGAUAGGGCAGGGUAAAACCGCGCUUGUAGAGUUGGUCAUUAAUGAUCAGGUAGCGAGCAGACUUGUAUCGAAUCUGCUUAGCUUGGACUUUGUCAUUUGGGAGGGUGCCAUGGGCAAGGAAUUUAUAAAUUUGGGUGAUCCAACUAUCUCCUUGUUGUAAAUUGCACACUUCCGCGACCAUGGUGCUGGGUGCUGCCAACAAUUCGACAUGAAUUUUUCUCCCAAUCUUGUCUUCCACUGCCGAGGCGAGGCGGGCCAAAGCGUCUGCAUGACUGUUUGUUGCUCGAGGAACUUGGGUGAUCUGGUAGUGGAAGUGCUUGAGCAAAAGUCAUGUUUGCGCAAGAUAUGCUGCCAUGGAGCUAUCCUUAGCAUCAAUUUGUUUAACUCCAAGAUGUUUGGCCAAACGUAAGCCUGCUAGAAGGGCUUCGUAUUCGGCCUCGUUGUUCGAUGCCUUGAAUUUGAAACGAAUAGCGUAUUCUAUCGCCACUUUGUCAGGGGUAGUGAGGACUAAUCCUGCUCCGCAACCCUGUUGGUUGGAUGAGCCAUCAACAUACAGACUCCAUGCUGGGGUUGUUGAUUCUAUCUUCUGAGCUUCCGAUGGUAAUGAAGCUAUUGCUUCAGGUGUAGAAGCAAUGUCAACAGGAUAUGUGAAGUCGGCGAUGAAAUCUGCUACUGCUUGACCCUUUUCGGCUGGUUUUGGUUGGUAGGAGAUGUCAAACUCACCCAAUGCUAUCGCCCAUUUGAUCAUUCGCCCAGACGUGUCAGGACUCUGGAGUAUCUGUCGAAGAGGGUGAUUGGUAAGCACGAUGAUGGCGUGUGCUUGGAAAUAAGGGCGAAGUUUUCGAGCAGACAUGACCAAUGCUAGAGCUAAUUUCUCAAUGUUGGAGUAUCGUGUUUCCGCAUCUUGUAGGGCCUUGCUAGCAUAGUAGACGAGCCGUUCAACACCACUGUCAUUUCGAAUAAGAACAGAACUGACUGCUGAAGCCGAAACCGAUAGAUAGAUAAUGAGAGUGUCACCAACUUCUGGUUUGGAGAGCAGAGAGGCUUUACUCAUGUACUCUUUGAGGUUCCUGAAUGCCUUGGCACAUUCCUCCGUCCAUGUAAUGUACUUCUUAUUUCCCUUGAGUGAUUUAAAGAAAUGAGCACAUCUGUCUGUGGCCUUAGAGAUGAAUCUGGUUAAGGCUGCCACCUUGCCAGUAAGGCUUUGGAUGUCUUUUGAAGUUACUGGCUCUUUCAUGUCAAGGAUUGCUUUGAUCUUUUCGGGGUUAGCUUCAAUGCCUCAUUGGCUAAUCAUGAAGCCUAAGAAUUUUCCAGAGCCCACGCCGAAGGCACAUUUGUUGGGGUUCAACCUCAUUCGAUACCUCUUUAGAAUGGUGAAAGUUUCAGAUAGGUUGGUGAUGUGUUGGUCAGCAUGUUUGCUCUUGACUAACAUAUCAUCAACGUAAACUUCCAUGCUCUUCCCAAUCUGUUCGGCGAACAUUGAAUUGACCAGUCUCUAAUAAGUUGCUCCUGCAUUCUUUAGACCGAAGGGCAUGAAUUUGUAGCAAUAUAGUCCCCUGUCAGUAGUGAAGGCUGUGUGUUCUUGGUCUGAGGGGUUCAUGAGGAUUUGGUUGUAUCCUGAAUAAGCGUCCAUGAAGCUCAAGAGUUCACACCCUGCCGUAGAGUCUAUAAGUCUAUCAAUGAGAGGAAGGGGGAAACUAUCAUUCGGGCAUCCUUUGUUUAGGUCGGUGUAGUCGACACACAUUCUCCACAAGACCUUUUGAACAGGAGACUUUCCUUGGUCGGAUUUUUCUUAACAAGGACAACACUUGCUACCCAUGUUGGGUAAUUGACUUCACGGACGAAGCCUAUGUCCUUGAGUUUUUCAACUUUUGCUUUCAUCACCUCGUAUCGUUCAACAUCAUAAGAUCUUCGCUUCUGUUUUACUGGUUUGGUCUUGGGAUCAAUACUCAAGUGGUGACAAAUGAUAUCGGGAGAGAUGCCCAGCAUAUCUUUAUAUGACCAAGCGAAGACUUCGGCGUUCUCUUGCAAAAAGGAGAUCAGCGACAACCGAAGGGGUGGUGACAAAGUGGUGCCAAUCUUCACCAUGCGAUCUGGAUGGUCUUUGGAGAUAGAGAUAUUCUCUAACUCUUCAGCGGGUUGUGCUUGCUGGGUGAAUGAGUCAUCUCGAGGGUCGUCGGGUUGACUGUUGCCAUCAUGAAGAUCCGAGUUGGCUUCAUCUGGACUGGUCUUUACUACCUGGUUAUGUAUAAAGAGGGUCUCUUUGGGGACAGGCAGGUGUUGUUGCUUAACUGAAGUGUUGUAACAUGAUCGAACACUAAGUUGAUCUCCCCUGAUGUAUCCAUUGCCGAAAGGGGUUGGAAACUUCAUCAACAACAUAUGUGUGGAUACCAUGGCCUUGAGAUCAUUGAUGCCUGUGCGCCCAAAGAUGACAUUGUAUGCCGUCGGGCAAUUGACCACUAGGAAGUUAGUGGUAAUAGUAGCUGUGUAGGGGCCUGUACCAAUGGUGAAGGGUAAGUGUAUACUCCCUAAAGGUUGCACGAUAUCGCCAGAGAAGCUUAUCAGAGGAGAAAUCGAGCUAUCGAGCAAGUGUUCAGCUACAUUAAGUGCCUUGAAAGCUUCAGCAAACAUGAUAUUGACUGAAGCACCUGUGUCUAUCAGGAUUCGUUUCACAUCAAAAUUUGCUAUGUGAGCCUCCACGAUCAGCGGGUCGUUGUGAGGGUAGAUGAUACCUCUUUUCUUCCUCAGGGGUAGAAACAUAUUGGAUCCCAGUUAGGCUUUUGAUACUUGCCUCCCCUGAUGUCUUCCACGUGAAACACUUGAUGGCCAGGUCUCAAAGUUCGUUCACUGUUUUUCAUGGCCCUAUUGGAAGAUUCAGACAUAGAUGUGUCGCCGUUUAUAGAAUAUAUCACAUUCACCUGGCGUUGGUUACGGUUAUCCCUUGGAGGGUGAAGGAGGAACUGAUCAAUUUUUUCCUUCACGUGCCAAAGCUUCAAUAUGAUCACGGAGGAUGACGCACUCCUCGCCAUCAUGGCCAUUAUACUCGUGGUAGCAGCAAAACAUGCCCGUGUUUUUCGUGGACUUGUAAUCUGGCUAUCUUGGCUUUGGCUUUGGUAUCAGAUGAGUUAUACUGAGGUAGAUGGCUGCGCAUGUAGCGUUCAAAGGUGUGUAUGUCUCAUACCUCGGGGUAGGGCCUGUCUUGACACGUGAUUGGCCCACUGCAUUGACUGCCUGGGGACGGGCGUUAUUGUGACGAUAUCCUGAGUUAUCGCGAUAGUGCCCCUUAUUCUUUUUAUUAAAAUGAGAUUGGUGAGGAUGAAAAUCUUUCCUUUUGCCCUGGGAUUGAUAUGUCUGCUGACUUGGCGAAGCAUUAAAUGAGGCAGGGGGGUGUGCUGCUACCGUUUGGAAGGUUGAGGUCUUCUCAUUCGGUUGGAUCUGGCCUCCACUCCCUACUUGCUGAUAAGGGGUGACUGUAGGGGGUUUCCCUUGAUAUGUCCUUGCCUCGACGGAGGCAUGGUUGUAAGCUUGUGCCAUCACCUCAGAGUAAGUCUUCCAAGUGUUGGCAUUGAUCAUGUACUUGAAGAAACAGUCACGUAAGCCUGCCGUGAAGGCCUUGAGGGCGGUCUUGUCAUCUGCCUCAGCGCAACGAGAAUACUCAUGGCUGAAGCGGCCAGCAUACUUUCGUAAUGACUCGUCCAGCAUCUGGCGAAUAGUGUACAAGUCAUAUGCGGAAUGCAAGUGAUCGGUCUGGAAGAUGUGUUGAGAGACAAACAGCUUCCUCAACUCUUCAAAUGAGUCUACUGUCUCAGGCGGAAGACGACAAUACCAGUUUAAAGCUCUGCCAGAGAGGGUGGAGGGGAAGAGAAGGCACCGUUCUUCAUCGGUGUGUCUCCGGUAUACCAUGGUGGACUCAAAGAGGUUAAGGUGUUCAAUCGGGUCUUCCCUUCCAAUAUAGAGUUGUAAGUCAAGCUUCUGCUUUGUCUUCGCUUGGAGGGGGGUGUUGAGGAUCCUUCUUGUGAGGGGGCCAGGCCUGGGUUGGUUCCAGUCAGGUAUCUCGGCUUGACGUUCAGCCUUCAACUUGUUUACUUCCUCCAGGAGCUGUAAGACGAGGGGGGUCCUGAGUGGAGUCGUGCAUCACUGAAGUUUUCUUCCGUAAGUCCCCAUCGCCUCUUGGAAGUAGGAAAGUUUGAUCAAGAUAGCAUGAUUUUUCCUUGGACUCGUCACACUGACUCCUAGAGUGAGUAUGUCGGAACAUUUCCGAGUCCCCUGUACCUUCAUGUUUUUCUGGGACUUGUUGCCCAUUCCCUAGAUUAACUGCUGGCCUGGGUCGUGGGAGAUGACCGAGUCUUUCAGAAACUCUUGGGUCAUUGAUCUUCGAGCUUAUGUGGAUGGGAUUCUCCCGACGUUGCUUUAGGAAGUCUCGACAAUCACGAUAGACGGCUUUUGAUCCUUCCACUCCUUAUGUGAGGAGGUGAUUUCCUCUACUCCUUCUGCUUCGGGUUGAAGCAGCUGGGUUGAGAGAAGUCUCAUGUUGAUUAUCACAUUGAUGUGUAGCUCGAUCCCUAUCAGGGAUGUCCAUGUUGGAUAUCGGUGACCCUCCGUGUUGGGGGGCAUUCAGAUGAUUGUUGACCUCAGCAGGGGCGACGAGCUUGUGUGCUUGAGCAUGCCUAGCCUCGUGAAGCAUCUCGAAAAGUUUUUCAUACUGCUCCUGGAGGACCUCGUUCCUUAUCACUAUCUUGUUGUUCUGAGCUUCUAACUCAUCGACUUUAGCUUGAAGAGUAACUCUAUUUCCUUCCUGCCUUCGUUGCUUCAUACUAGGUCCAAUGGGGGUGUCAUUCUGUGUGCUAUGGCUUCUUUCGCUCCCCAUGUUGGAGAGAGAUGUUUGGCCAAAAGAAAGUGUACGAGUGGUGGAAACCAGCUUGACAAAGCUGAAGAGAGUGGGAAUAAGUAUCGAUUUCCCACAGACGGCGCCAAAUGUUGAUGCACAAAAUCAGCGAGGACUUUGGUACAACAGAAAGUGUCAGGUUUGUGACCUUCGCUUGGUUGCUUCGAUCACUAGUGAAGAUAAGUACGUAAAUGAAUAGGGACAGGGAAGCAAACACAAGAUGUACGUGGUUCACCCAGAUCGGCUACGUCCACGGAGUAGAGGAGUUCUCAUUAAUUGUGAAGGGUUUACACAAAUACAUAGGUUCAAGCUCUCAUUUUGUGAGUUCUAGUGAAUAGUUUAGUACAAAAUGACAUUAGAGAUUAUUGUGGGAGAAUGAUCCCUAUUUAUAGAAGAGAGUUUCUAGUUUUGUUCUAACAUUGACACGUGUCGUGUUGUGAUUGGCUUCUGAUGUUGACACGUGUCGAGCUGUGAUUGACUUCUGAUGUCGACAAGUGUCGCAUUGUGAUUGGCCUCCUGGUUGAAGGGAAGCUCUUCUGGGUCCUUGACGGUAUAACGUUGACCGGUGCUCAGUAGUUUCGGGAUUUGUCAAGUAUGGUACAAACAUAAGCCUUAACUUCCUUGUCUUUUCAUAUAUCUCACUUUAAGUUGUAAGCUUAUAAAUACAUGUAUUUGUAAUGCAAAAAAAGGUAAGAAGUUAUUUGAAUUAUUAUAUUGGAAUUUGAUCAUAAACUUGUUUUUUUAAGUGUCUUGCUCUUGUUUAAGAGUUUGUUGUUUUGUUCUUUUAGUUGUCUACGUCGUAGACUGGUACUAGAAGUAAAUUUGGGAUUUCAGGUCUCUCCUUGCACUUAGAGAUAGUGAAUCCUACCUAUCUGUACUAUCUAUUCGUACAUAUUUUCCACCAUGCUGCACCUUGCAUCAAGUUACAUAGAGAAGCCCCUUAGGCAAGAAAGAUUACAGAAAUCCCAAAAUUGAAUAGAACGAGCCUCAAUGGUGAUUAAAUGACACCAAGUGCAUUGGUCAAAAGACAAAUGACCAAUCCCUAUCAAAGCAUCAGUAACAAAAUUGACUCCACGGUAAAUGUGACGAAAGGACACCUCAAGAAAAUAACAAGCAAUCCCCUGAAUGUGAAUAGAUGCCAGGGGGUAGGGAUAGAUGCCAAAGGAAGGUUUUAGUUGCUUGCAACGGAAAUUAUUCCUUAUUUAUUUUAUUAUAUGGAAUUCAGCCUAUGCACUCAACUCUGAAGUUUGCAACGCAAGCAGCCAUGCACGGCUCUAGCUGGCCUCGAGUUGAUAGCAAACAUCCCCUUAAGAAAACACAUAAGAAAAUAAAAUUAAAAUAAACAAAAUGUUACCAAAAAUACAUAAAGUGGUGCACGAUUGACUAAAUAAUUCUUUGUUGCUCAUUGAAUUUUAUUAUUUUACGCAUUAAAACCGAAAGAUGAUGACUUAUUUAUUCCUGUCAAAGAGUACAAAAAUACUAAUCUAAUUCUCACACGCAAACCAAAUUAUAAAUGUAACAUUAAGGGGGCGUUUGUUUACCUUCACUAAUCCUCAUUGGACUAGACUGGACUAACUAUUAGUCUAAUCAUAUGUUUGUUGUUUCAAGGGACUAAUAUUAAUGAGACUAGCUGGGAUUAGCCUAGACUAAGGACAUCGCUAGAGUUUCUUAGCGAGAGUCCCCGGAAACCAUGGGACUAGCUAAGACCCCUCUUUGGUCUCUAUCUCACGAGACAAUAACCACAUCGUUCCCGCUCUCCCUCUUACACCAUCAGAUGACCACCACUCUCUCCCUCCUCGUCUUGAACCCACAAUCAUGAGACCUUAGAUUCGCCCAUCCCUAAGAUGCUUUAUCACCGAGCUCGUUGUCGAGAGGCAACACUUCUCUACUUAGUUCCUCGGCUUCAUCAACUCCUAACUCGCUCUCCCAAAACCAUUUUCAAACACAGAUCUAACGGACCUGCAACUCUUCGCCAGACAACUUUUGAAUUCGAUCUCUCCUCAUUCGAUUCGUUGUGGGUAUUUUGGUCCUUCACUCAUAACUCCACCAAUCUGCUCCUGGAGAAGAAUCAGUUGCCGCCAUGUUUCUGCUGGACUGCUUCUACGGGUUGUGGUGGAAGGAGGCCAAGAUUCUAUUUCUAGGUUUGGAUGGCGAUUGGAAUGAUCUUGGGACUAGGUUGCUUUGGACGGAGAAAAAAGAUGGGGAGGGAGAGAAUAGAAAAAUGGAGAAUUGUUAUGAAAAAAAGAAUGGAGUAUACUAAUAAUAUAAUAUUAAUAUAUAUAGAUUAAAUAAUAUAAUAUUAGGAUUUGUUAAUUAUUUUGCUUUUUAGUCCGACACUACACCAAACGCUUCACUAAGUCAGUUCAGCUUAGUCUAGUUUAAGCCAGUCCAGCUUAUUCCCUGAACCUAAUUCAGUCCAAGAUAGUCCGAUGC